Molecule: ribosomal RNA, 375 nt
Filed under: uncultured bacterium
Lineage: Bacteria
Description: bacterial SSU rRNA
Rfam family: Bacterial small subunit ribosomal RNA
Source: RNAcentral
GACGAACGCUGGCGGCGUGCUUAACACAUGCAAGUCGAGCGGUAAGGCCCUUUCGGGGUACGACGAGCGGCGAACGGGUGAGUAACACGUGGGUGACCUCGCCCUCCAGCUCUGGGAGUAAGCCUGGGAAACCGGGUACUAAUACUGGAUAUGACUCCAUGACGCAUGUUGUGGGGUGGAAAGCCUUGUGCGGCUGAGGAUGGGCCCGGCGGCCUAUCAGCUUGUUGGUGGGGUGGAUGGCCUACCAAGGCGACGACGGGUAGCCGGCCUGAGAGGGCGACCGGCCACACUGGGACUGAGACACGGCCCAGACUCCUACGGGAGGGCAGCAGUGGGGAAGUCUUGCGCAAUGGGCGAAAGCCUGACGCAGCGACG